This is a long non-coding RNA of Myripristis murdjan (pinecone soldierfish), 886 nucleotides long. RefSeq lists it as uncharacterized. The record is from RefSeq and is a predicted model, not a curated record. The transcript has 3 exons. Lineage: Eukaryota; Metazoa; Chordata; Actinopteri; Holocentriformes; Holocentridae.
UGAGCACCUCGUUGACGAUGGAGGGAAGGACUCUCUCGUCGUAGUCCUUACCCAGCUGCUGGUACAUGACUGGGAGGUUGGAUGCCAUGGGUCUGGACAGUACUCGCACCGCUAUGUUCACCAUCUGAAGGUGGCUUCUUUAACGCCAUAUGCCAAGGCCCCGGCUCCAAUCAGAAGCUUCAGUCCUAAUCCUGCACCCUUGCCACCAGACGAAGACAUCCGGCCUGCCAGGUCCCUCAGGUGCUGAAGAAAUCGCUACAGAGGGCGAGACAGAGGGACAGGGAGGAGAGAGGGAGUCAGAGAGGAAUCACCUGUAUUAUCCCUGCAGAGAGGUGUGUCUUUGAACGGCACCGGGAACAAAGAACUAGCCCACAAAAACAGCAACACAACUUAUGUUUUUUAACUUGCAGACACGACUGCUCUUAGUAACAAACUUAGAGCUGCAACUGUGGAUGACAGAUUGGAAAGAAUCAGCCCUUAUCUAGCCCAGUGCAGACUACAGCUGCCGUCUACCUCCACAACAUGUUGAGCUGGAUACUUUCAUUACUUGCUUACAAUGUACUGCUGAGCAUAUCCCUUAUGAAGUAGGGUGCUUUACUCAUUUCUGCCUUAACAACAUUAUAAACACAUAGUUGAUGUCCAUAUGAACAUGACCAAUGACUGAGGAGAGUGAGAGGUCUCUAUCAUCUGAGGGUAGCAGUUGGCACUUAUUACACUCCUGUCUGGCUAGGAAUGGGGUCUCCUCUCUCUGUGGUCCUUCAAGAUUUGAGUAUUAAGUCAGGGGAUGUCCGGCUGUCUACUGUAAAUAUGUGGGCAUGUAAAGCCCUUAGAGACUGUAAACAGUGACACUGGACUCUAAAUAAACCCGAAUCUGCACUUGGUCUCU